Molecule: long non-coding RNA, 213 nt
Filed under: Lathyrus oleraceus (garden pea)
Lineage: Eukaryota; Viridiplantae; Streptophyta; Magnoliopsida; Fabales; Fabaceae
Description: Pisum sativum (pea) long non-coding RNA (PSAT_LNC028013)
Source: RNAcentral
UUGUAUCAAAACGGCUGCGUUUCAGUUUGCGCGCUUCAGUUUGAAUUGCGCUUCACUUCGAUUCCUGGCCAUGCAAUUAUUUCAAAUGUGCUUCAUGAUUAUUUGUUUUCCCUCCAUUCAUUCAUAUGUUAUGCUUUAUCUUUUUUUUUAUUUUUUCUCCAUCUUCCAAAAUUCAUAAAUAAUUGAAUAAUGAUCCAAAAAAUAUGAGGUUAU